Armigeres subalbatus is the source of this 1661-nucleotide long non-coding RNA. RefSeq lists it as uncharacterized. The record is from RefSeq and is a predicted model, not a curated record. Lineage: Eukaryota; Metazoa; Arthropoda; Insecta; Diptera; Culicidae. The transcript is spliced from 5 exons.
CAGGUUUUGCCAUCUUGAUUUUGUUGCUGAUGAGAAGUUAAAUUUUUACAAUAAUAUUUAAUUUAUAAUUGGAUUUAAAUAAAUUACCCUCGAGAUUACCGCUGUUAAGUGCGCUUUUAUUCUCCAUAGUGUGCGGUCAGGAAGAAUUUAUUUACGGUGGAAAAGGGUUUACUGCGCCGAGUGUGGAAUCAAUUCGGAACGACAUGAUUCGGAGCUUGUGCGAUUUGUGGGUUGGAUCUUGCCAGAUUGUGUGAUUGUUCCGGAACAGCUUCAAUUCGCCGAUCAAUCCGGCCUCCCGCUGCAACGCCCGUAACUCGUCGUUUUUUUACGGUGCUGCAACCGUGGACGUCCUAUCUUAUCGGAUAGAUGGAGAAAAACGGAACGACCGACUCCGAUUGAAUGUUCCAUAAACCGAUGCUCUAUCAUUCAAAUUGAACGGAAAAGAAUCCCACGUACAGCCAUGUGAUUUUAAGUUUCAGCAGAGCCCCGCGGUCAGUAGGUUGCGCCAGGUGCGAGAAAGUGCUCAAAUAGAUCGACGAAUUAUCCAAUCCGGAAAUGUGCGAAGCCGCUAUGUUGCAGCUGAGCAAAAAAAGUGAAUCGGGUUGGAAUCUUUCCCAAUAGUGUGGUUUCGGUAUAGCUUCUAUCCGUCGACUAAACCGGCCACCCAAAUCGUGUUUAGCCUCGCUACAACUGCUGAAACUUGCCUUUUUUUUUUCUGACGACACACAUUUGAUUGUUUCUAAGUUGCGUGACAGAAUAUGCGCCAGUCUACAGGAUAACUAAUGCACUACUGUGGCUUUCGUUCCUUAAAGAAUUUCUCAAAACCGUGACCGAGCCUAGGACCAAUUCACGAGUAACCAAUAGAACGGUUUUAAUGAAUGCUUACGAAUGUUCAUUUAAUUAGAGGAUACCAUGAAAAUGGGUGAAUUCAUAGGAAUUUGGUAGCUGAUCACUGCAUUUACCGGGAGGCACAGACAAGGCAUGUUACAUAUUUGAUGACUUAAACAUUCAUUCAAGACUCGGUUCGAUCGAUCUUCCACAUUUGAAGGACUUCUUCACCAUGCCGUCACGUAGCCAUUCUACUUAAGAGCUCCAAGUCAGAUUUAAUCAUUCGCGGAAUAGUUUGUACCAAGAUCCAGCAGCUUUGUUUCAUCACAACAGAUGUUGGCUAACCGAAAUUGUCAGCAACAUGAAAGCCAACAGAAAGAUUCCUUCCCGAAGCGAAGUCGGUGGUUCUCCCACCCAUCAGAACGUCGGCUUAGGAGGCACCCACCCAACUAAGACAGAAAAAAAGCGUCAGGCCGCUGCAUCGAUCAGUGCGUUAUAGGUACUAGAGGUUUGCGAUGCCCAGACCGAGGCUGGCAGCAACUGCUGCGCAAUAUUUCUGACAUGCUAUGCGAUUUACCCACCAUCCCAGGACAAUUGACGGUGAAUUGGCGCGUCGGUAUACAAGUCAAGUCAUGACUAUCACCUAUCCCAAAAACUUCCAAAUAUCAAUAGAUCAGAAUGCAGAAUGGAACCGUGGUUGCGCGUUGGUGUGGCAAAAUCGUUACCGUCAAUUUAAUAUUAAGCUUUUUUAAUGUAUAUAAAUAUGGACAGAUAUGAUAUAGACAAAAAAAUCAAAGCAUACAUUUAUAAUAAAAUUAUUGAUAUGAUACAAA